GGUGUUGUAGCUCAGUGGUAGAGUGCGUGCUUAGCAUGCAUGAGGUCCUGGGUUCCCUCCCUUGCACCA
RNAcentral lists this transfer RNA (69 nucleotides) under Ictidomys tridecemlineatus (thirteen-lined ground squirrel). RNAcentral describes it as "Spermophilus tridecemlineatus (thirteen-lined ground squirrel) tRNA". It matches the Rfam family "tRNA". Rfam says of the family: Transfer RNA (tRNA) molecules are approximately 80 nucleotides in length. Their secondary structure includes four short double-helical elements and three loops (D, anti-codon, and T loops). Lineage: Eukaryota; Metazoa; Chordata; Mammalia; Rodentia; Sciuridae. The record is from Rfam by way of RNAcentral.